This 262-nucleotide unclassified non-coding RNA is filed under the name Paraglomus sp. RNAcentral's name for it is "partial internal transcribed spacer 2". The stretch from base 1 to 65 matches the Rfam family "5.8S ribosomal RNA", at positions 84 to 154 of the family's 154-position model. The record is from RNAcentral. Lineage: Eukaryota; Fungi; Glomeromycota; Glomeromycetes; Paraglomerales; Paraglomeraceae.
GUGAAUCAUCGAAUUUUUGAACGCAAAUUGCGCUCUCCGCGAAGAGUAUGCCUGUUUGAGUUUCAGCCUAUAAAAUCGACAUCGUUGCUGUUUCGCGGUGGCGUUCGUCGGAAAUUGGGGCAUUUUAAAGCCUUUUGAUUUAAUCGACGUAAAAUUUUCUUUUGGUUCCAUUAACGUUUCUAAGAUCUAUUUCUUUAGACGUUUAAGGUAUCGAUUUUUACUAUACGUUACCAUCAUAUCGUAUCGCGUUCAUAAUUUUUCA